This 2288-nucleotide long non-coding RNA is filed under the name Helianthus annuus (common sunflower). Its description in RNAcentral is "hypothetical non coding rna". Lineage: Eukaryota; Viridiplantae; Streptophyta; Magnoliopsida; Asterales; Asteraceae. The record is from RNAcentral.
GGUUUCAAAUUUUGAGGGAUAUAGAGAGAGAGGACUGCAAAACUAACUCUCCACCUUCUCAAACCCUACCCCCGAUUCUCUCUCACGCCACUCUCCAAUUUAGAACGGAUACAAUGAGUCGGAGGAGAAUGAAGAAUUGGAAUGAUGAAGACAAAGAUUAAACAAGGAUGUGUUCUUCUUGAUUGCUAUUUUGUUUUCUUCGAACAGAUCUGAAUCUGACGACCUUUAGUAUGAAUCGAAUGUUGUGUUUGAUUUUGCUCAUUGCGUGUGACGGCUAUCGAAAAAGAUUUGAAUGGAAAGAUGUCUUUGGUAUUGUUCGUUGAGAGUGACAUCCCUUCGAAAAAUGGGUUUGGUUGAUCUUGAGGACUUUUUAAAAGAACUUCAGAAUAAAGAGUAAGGUGGUGUUUGUUUUUUGGCCAGAAGCACUUCCGAAGCUGUUUAAUUUGGUAUCAUGCAGUUGAUUAUGCAGUAGACAUAAUAAAGGGUUGUGUGAUAAUCUUUCGAAUUGCUGGAGUGACAAUGUAUUUUCAAAAGCUAAUCUGAUAAACAUUGAACAAGUUAAUCCCAAUGCUAUGGAAAUUGGAUGUUUUAGUGACUGUUGAUUGUGGAGUAUAUCCAUGUCUUUUCCGAAUUAGUAAGGUGUGAUGUCUCUAUAGAGAAAACCGUGUAAGAGAAAGAUCGAAAUCACGACAAAUUGACAGGGACUGCACAAACCAGAAUAUGAAGACAACCAUAUCGCUAUAAACAAUAGUGGGGAUCCAAAUUGCUUGCUUGGAAUUCUUACCUAAGGUCUCCAUGUUCUCGAAUCUGAAACUCGAAAAUCUUAUUGAGUUGCUUGGUUACUAUGUUAAAAGGAGACAUUUGUGGCUUAUGAAUUUGCAACCAUGGGAUCUCUACAUGACAGUUUGUAUAACAUGCUGCAUUUGAAGGAGCCCUUAUAGGUGCUUGAGAAUUUUGGGAAAUUUUGUUGUGCCGACCUACGUAUAGCGUGAUAGCUAGUUACUAUUGUCGACUUGGAAAAAUCUAUCGGUUCCACCAUCAUGGUGACACUACAUCUUCGACUUUCUAUUCAGAAACUCCAAUAAGACCGCAGUCUAGUACCAGAUCUUAAUAAUCUUUCCUUUCGAUCCUUUGUGAUCAAUCUUUGAAUUUUGAAGAUGGUCAUGUUUGUUGAUGCAAUCAUCCGUUUUGAACAUGUCUUCACAUCUCUGUUAUGUUCAUUUUUGAGCGACGUAUGUGCUGAUUCUGAAUCAUGCACCAACUCGAUCUUGUUCAACUUUCCAAAGUGUUGGUCAUCAUUCUGAAGAACGCUUAAAUUAAGCAUGAACAUUAGGAACUCGACUAACCCAUAUCCUUUUGAAUCUUUUCUACAGUGAGUCAGUGACAACGCCUCCAACCCGAUAAUCUUUGAUUAUACACCUCAUAUACGAUUGACUACGUCUCUUUCAUUUGAUUAAGGGGGUGUUUGGCUUAGCUUUUUGAAACAACUAAUUGACUUAUUGGUUUUUUCAAGCCAAUAAGUCAAAAUAAUGUUUGGACAAGUGAAAAGGACUUUUUAAACAACUUUUUGUAUAAGGUUGAACGUAGUGGGGCUUGAUAUACCGCCCAAAAUGGAGAUCGCGCCAUUAUAGCGCCGGAAACACCGCCCCCAAGGGCGCUAUGCUCGAAAAUUUUUUUGAAGCGCGAUAAUCUUCGCGGCGUGAUGGUUCUUGAAUAGUUUUGGUUUUAUACAAACUUAGUCCCUGCAAAUCGGAGAAGAAGACAUAGGAGAGAAGAAGACAUAGGAUUCGGCCGGAAAAUCGAAUGCCAAGUCGCCGGAAAAUCGAAUGCCAACUCGCCGGAAAAUUGGAGAAGAAGACAGGAGGCGGCGGAAGGUAUUUGAUAUUGAAAGUUUUUGCUUAAUACACAUUUGGUCCCUGUUUUUGCUUAAUACACAUUUAGUCCCUGUUGUUUUUGCUUAAUACACAAUUGAUUUUGAAAGUUUUUGCUUUACACAAUUGCUUAAUACAUUUGGUCCCUGUUUUUGAAAGUUAAAAAAUAUGGCAGUUUUAAUACUUGUAAAAGUCAUAUUGAAAAGCCAAAGUUUCCUAGCUUUUCAAAAUGACUUUUCAAAAAGUCAUUUUCACUUGUCCAAACAUUAUUUUGACUUAUUGGCUUUUUUUUUUUUUUUGUUUUUGUUUCAAAAAGCUAAGGCAAACACCCCCUAACCAUUAUUAAUGUUCCUAAUACAACUAUAAGCUUCGAGACAAGUUCGUGUCCCUACUCCAUAAAGGUUGUAGUACUUUAUC